Molecule: ribosomal RNA, 770 nt
Filed under: uncultured bacterium
Lineage: Bacteria
Description: bacterial SSU rRNA
Rfam family: Bacterial small subunit ribosomal RNA
Source: RNAcentral
GACGAACGCUGGCGGCGUGCCUAAUACAUGCAAGUCGAGCGAAGUUUUUCUGGUGCUUGCACUAGAAAAACUUAGCGGCGAACGGGUGAGUAACACGUAAAGAACCUGCCUCAUAGACGGGGACAACUAUUGGAAACGAUAGCUAAUACCGGAUAACAGCAUAAAUCGCAUGAUAUAUGUUUAAAAGUUGGUUUCGGCUAACACUAUGAGAUGGCUUUGCGGUGCAUUAGCUAGUUGGUGGGGUAAAGGCCUACCAAGGCGACGAUGCAUAGCCGACCUGAGAGGGUGAUCGGCCACACUGGGACUGAGACACGGCCCAGACUCCUACGGGAGGCAGCAGUAGGGAAUCUUCCGCAAUGGGCGAAAGCCUGACGGAGCAACGCCGCGUGAGUGAAGAAGGAUUUCGGUUCGUAAAGCUCUGUUGUUAGGGAAGAAUGAUUGUGUAGUAACUAUACACAGUAGAGACGGUACCUAACCAGAAAGCCACGGCUAACUACGUGCCAGCAGCCGCGGUAAUACGUAGGUGGCAAGCGUUGUCCGGAAUUAUUGGGCGUAAAGCGCGCGCAGGUGGUUUAAUAAGUCUGAUGUGAAAGCCCACGGCUCAACCGUGGAGGGUCAUUGGAAACUGUUAAACUUGAGUGCAGGAGAGAAAAGUGGAAUUCCUAGUGUAGCGGUGAAAUGCGUAGAGAUUAGGAGGAACACCAGUGGGCGAAGGCGGCUUUUUGGCCUGUAACUGACACUGAGGGCGCGAAAGCGUGGGGAGCAACAGG